UCCUACGGGGGGCAGCAGUGAGGAAUAUUGGUCAAUGGGCGGGAGCCUGAACCAGCCAAGUCGCGUGAGGGAAGACGGUCCUAUGGAUUGUAAACCUCUUUAGGCGGGGAGCAAUGCCGGGCACGCGUGCCCGGAGGGAGAGUACCCGCAGAAUAAGCAUCGGCUAACUCCGUGCCAGCAGCCGCGGUAAUACGGAGGAUGCGAGCGUUAUCCGGAUUUAUUGGGUUUAAAGGGUGCGCAGGCGGCGAGUUAAGUCAGCGGUAAAAUUUCGGGGCUCAACCCCGACGAGCCGUUGAAACUGGCUU
RNAcentral lists this ribosomal RNA (305 nucleotides) under uncultured bacterium. RNAcentral describes it as "bacterial SSU rRNA". It matches the Rfam family "Bacterial small subunit ribosomal RNA", at positions 337 to 639 of the family's 1533-position model. The record is from RNAcentral.